GCUUUAUUAAAUAAUUUUGUGAGCAUAAAAAUAUAGGAAAAUAAAUAAAUUUUGGGAAAUUAAAAUUUAAUAGAAAAUUAGAAACACGUUGUUGCAUACAUGCUGGUGCACUUCUUUUAUGUGAUGAGUGGUUUGAAAAAGUUAUUUGAAUUCAAAAUUUCAUUUGGAAAUUUUGUUUGGAAAAUAAAAAAAAAGAAAAGCUUUUCUCUCUUCCCCCUCCUUUUCGGCCUUGUGGCCCAGCAACCCGCGCGCCCCCUUUCUCCUUCUUGGGCCUGGCCCAGCCGAUCCCCUCCCUUCCCCCUCUUUUUCUCUGGCGGCUGACGGGUGGGGCCCACCCGUUAGGACCACCCCCUUCCUCCAACCGCCCCGCCCCCGAGUCUCUCUCGGUUGGAAACCUCCCAGGCCGAAGCCUCCGGGCCCACGAUCCCCUCCUUCCUCCGCGCUUC
This 446-nucleotide long non-coding RNA is filed under the name Sorghum bicolor (sorghum). RNAcentral's name for it is "long non-coding RNA (SBIC_LNC010203)". Lineage: Eukaryota; Viridiplantae; Streptophyta; Magnoliopsida; Poales; Poaceae. The record is from RNAcentral.